This 204-nucleotide ribosomal RNA is filed under the name uncultured bacterium. RNAcentral's name for it is "partial 16S ribosomal RNA". It matches the Rfam family "Bacterial small subunit ribosomal RNA", at positions 1297 to 1500 of the family's 1533-position model. The record is from RNAcentral.
AUUGCAGGCUGCAACCCGCCCUGCAUGAAGUCGGAAUUGCUAGUAAUCGCGGAUCAGCAUGCCGCGGUGAAUACGUUCCCGGGCCUUGUACACACCACCCGUCACACCAUGGGAGCCGGUAAUACCCGAAGUCAGUAGUCCAACCACGUGAGGACGCUGCCGAAGGUAGGAUUGGCGACUGGGGUGAAGUCGUAACAAGGUACC